UACGUAGGGUGCGAGCGUUAAUCGGAAUUACUGGGCGUAAAGGGUGCGCAGGCGGUUUUGUAAGUCAGAUGUGAAAUCCCCGGGCUUAACCUGGGAAUUGCGUUUGAAACUACAAGACUAGAGUGUGGCAGAGGGAGGUGGAAUUCCAUGUGUAGCAGUGAAAUGCGUAGAGAUAUGGAAGAACAUCGAUGGCGAAGGCAGCCUCCUGGGUUAACACUGACGCUCAUGCACGAAAGCGUGGGGAGCAAACAGGG
RNAcentral lists this ribosomal RNA (254 nucleotides) under uncultured bacterium. Its description in RNAcentral is "partial 16S ribosomal RNA". It matches the Rfam family "Bacterial small subunit ribosomal RNA", at positions 524 to 777 of the family's 1533-position model. The record is from RNAcentral.